Molecule: ribosomal RNA, 468 nt
Filed under: uncultured bacterium
Lineage: Bacteria
Description: partial 16S ribosomal RNA
Rfam family: Bacterial small subunit ribosomal RNA
Source: RNAcentral
GACGAACGCUGGCGGCGUGCUUAACACAUGCAAGUCGAACGGAAAGGCCCUGCUUUUGUGGCUUGCUCGAUUGGCGAACGGGUGAGUAACACGUGAGUAACCUGCCCUUGACUUUGGGAUAACUUCAGGAAACUGGGGCGAAUAUCGGAUAGGAUCUCCUGCUGCAUGGUGUGGGUUGGUAAGUUUCGGCGGUUGUGGAUGGACUCGCGGCUUAUCAGCUUGUUGGUGGGGUAGUGGCUUACCAGGGCUUUGACGGGUAGCCGGCAUGAGAGGGUGACCGGCCACAUGGGGACUGAGAUACGGCCCAGACUCCUACGGGAGGCAGCAGUGGGGAAUAUUGCACAAUGGGCGGAAGCCUGAUGCAGCAACGCCGCGUGCGGGAUGACGGCCUUCGGGUUGUAAACCGCUUUCGCCUGUGACGAAGCGUGAGUGACGGUAAUGGGUAAAGAAGCACCGGCUAACUACGUG